AAUUCGCAGCCCGACUUUAGUGAAAAUCCUUUUUGCCUGAAUAAACUUUUCGAUUUAUAAAAACUUUUCGAAGUAAAAAGAUUGGGAACGGAAGGCGGAAAUGUCU
Molecule: small RNA, 106 nt
Filed under: Halpernia frigidisoli
Lineage: Bacteria; Pseudomonadati; Bacteroidota; Flavobacteriia; Flavobacteriales; Weeksellaceae
Description: Chryseobacterium frigidisoli Flavo-1 RNA
Source: RNAcentral